GUCCAUAUUUCGUGGAUAAGGAAGCACAGGAUAGAAUUUUUCCGGUGGAUAAAUCGUGAACUGCCGACAGUCUCUGUUCUGCAAAAAAAAAAAAACAAAAGAUGUUUAUUCAAAUUAAUAAACAAGAUAUUGACAAACGCUUGAGAUGUCUCGGAAAACUGGCCGGUUGCGAAGAAAAGCACGAAGACAUUCAAAUUGCGGUUGCUCCUGGCUGCCGAUUCUAUGGCGCACGCUUGUCGAGGAGUGAGAUACGGCGGUGAACAACUGGUCUUGUGAAAGAAUAUGCAUCUACUUGGUAUCAACAUUUCUUUAUCUGGAAAAUACAGAAAAGCAAAAAUAUACACUUGCUACACUGCAAUCUCUAGUAGUUCUUUCAAUACUCACAUUCAUCGUCCCACAAAGCUUCUGUAACGUCCUCGUGAUAACUCCGGGUCCGUUGUUACCCCAGACAUCGCCACGGAAGUUCUUUUUGAGAUCGCG
Long non-coding RNA from Cataglyphis hispanica, 480 nucleotides. RefSeq lists it as uncharacterized. Lineage: Eukaryota; Metazoa; Arthropoda; Insecta; Hymenoptera; Formicidae. The transcript has 3 exons. The record is from RefSeq and is a predicted model, not a curated record.